Molecule: ribosomal RNA, 483 nt
Filed under: uncultured bacterium
Lineage: Bacteria
Description: partial 16S ribosomal RNA
Rfam family: Bacterial small subunit ribosomal RNA
Source: RNAcentral
AUUGAACGCUGGCGGCAUGCCUUACACAUGCAAGUCGAACGGCAGCGCGGGAGCAUCCUGGCGGCGAGUGGCGAACGGGUGAGUAAUACAUCGGAACGUGCCCAAUCGUGGGGGAUAACGCAGCGAAAGCUGUGCUAAUACCGCAUACGAUCUACGGAUGAAAGCAGGGGAUCGCAAGACCUUGCGCGAAUGGAGCGGCCGAUGGCAGAUUAGGUAGUUGGUGAGGUAAAGGCUCACCAAGCCUUCGAUCUGUAGCUGGUCUGAGAGGACGACCAGCCACACUGGGACUGAGACACGGCCCAGACUCCUACGGGAGGCAGCAGUGGGGAAUUUUGGACAAUGGGCGAAAGCCUGAUCCAGCCAUGCCGCGUGCAGGAUGAAGGCCUUCGGGUUGUAAACUGCUUUUGUACGGAACGAAACGGUCUUUUCUAAUAAAGAAGGCUAAUGACGGUACCGUAAGAAUAAGCACCGGCUAACUACGUG